Long non-coding RNA from Macrobrachium nipponense, 752 nucleotides. RefSeq lists it as uncharacterized. Lineage: Eukaryota; Metazoa; Arthropoda; Malacostraca; Decapoda; Palaemonidae. The record is from RefSeq and is a predicted model, not a curated record. The transcript has 3 exons.
GAUACAAGUGACUGUUCUGCAUUUCUUGUCUGUUUUUUUUUGGCACAAAAAGGAUAUAAUUUGAGGUAACGACAUAUUCAAGCACAGAAGUAUGACAAGUGAUUAUUUUGUUUUUAUUUCAAGGCUUUUAAAUGUGGAUAUCGACAGUUUAAAGAAAAAGCACUGAAGGAAAAAAAACGGCGAGUGGCUCAGAUAAUCCAUUGUUUUGAAAACGAUGACCGCUAAGAGAGAUGUAUAUCUUGCAUGGUGUAUGAAAACGACAUAGUAUGCUUAAAAGGUUAAAGAGUCACCUGUUUCAUUUUUCCAAAACGUAUGUUUGGAACUUUCGAGGAAAUACUGGAUUUGGCAUGAUAAUUCAAAUCGGUUGCCUAAGCAACGAAGCCACCGCCGCCAUGAGUGAGCCUAGACCUAGACUCAUAUAUUUAUAUAAGUCUAGGCGAAUUCCCACAGGUUUUUGUCAAAAAUUAGUUUAAGCAACUUUUAGAAAUUAUUCGUCUUUACUGGUCGAAAAAAACACCAUACAAACAAACAAACAAAAUGGCAUAGGACAGCUUUCAAGAUAAUAGAUAGGGCGACCACAUUGGGACUAUGACUUCAGUAAGAUGCGUCGUGACCAGCCUUCUCUAAUUUGUUUGCCUGACAUCCGUAAAAGUGUUUCGCGGAAACGAAUUAUAAAGAUGGGCGAAAGAGCUGUUGGAAAGAAGAGCCAUCUACCUCAAGGAAGCGGUGCGACAGCACUUGCAAGGUAGAGG